CGGAAAUAAUAACAUUUAAUGUGGUUGUUUUUCAAAUCUGGAAUUAUUAAAGAACUACAUCUUAUGAUUAUCUCUUCACUCAGUAAUAUAUUUUUAUAAUGUAACUGUCUCAAAUGUCUGUAACACUCAGGGAAAUAAGCUCCCAUUCAAAAGCGUAGUAAACAUAAAUAUACCUGGGUGAAGCACCAGAGGAUAUAAACAGGCAAUUUGCAGAAUGACAACUCUCAAAAACUAACACUCAUAUGAGAGGUGCUCACAAAUGUUAAUAAUCCAGGAAAUGCAAAUUGAUGCAACAAUGAGAUACAAUUUUACACCUAUUAGAUUGGCAAAUAUUAGGAAGUUCAGUAAAACUGAGUGUUGCGGGGAUGUGGGAUUACAGCAACCUCAUGCACUGACCUCCUAAUUGGACAAAUUGAGGAAUCCCCCAGUGUGUGUGGCUUGAUGGAAAACAGGCUCCAGCUUCCACCAGGGAUGCUGCAGGAUGCUGUACAUUUUCUUUCCACACCUGCUGACAGGCAGGGCCUGGGCCCGCUCCCUGCGACUGGCCACUCAGGUUAGCCUUCCCAAGAAUUUGAAUCAGGUGCUAAAGGUACAAAGACCCCAGAAAAGUUAGCGAUUCUUCUCAGAAGAAGCAAUGGACUCCAGCACCCAGCAGUAUGGCUUUGAGUGUCCAGUGUGUUUCUGCCUGUGGCAGGGUCCUCCCAGGACUGCUUCUGUGCAUAGCUUAUCAGUAUUCUUCCCAGCUUCCCCAUCCGGGAGUGCUUGGUUCUUCAGCUUUCAGGAAGAUGGAGUAGACACACUUCUCCCUAUUCCUCCCAGUAAGGACAACUAAACACUCUGGACAUUUGGGAAACUUUCAGCCAUUAUUUCUUUGAAUACCUUUUCAGCCUUGUCUUCUUUCUUUUCUUCUUCUGCAACUUCAGUGACACAAACACUGGGUCUUGUGAUAGUCUCACAGGUCCCUGAAGCUCCGUUCAUUGUUUUCCAUUUAUUUUCUCUCCGUUUUUCAGUCUGGGUGGUUUCUCUAGUUAUAGUUCCCAAUUCAGUGAUUUUUUUCCCCUCUCUCUCCUCUAUUUGGCUAUUGAGCCCAUCCAUUCAUUUUGGUUAUUGUAUUUUUUCAGUAGAUUUAGUUUGUAUAUAAAGCAAGUAUAAGAAUAUUCUGAAAAGUGGGGAAAAGAAGGCAGCCCAGCUAGGAGACUUGGGACCAUCAUAGUGCGUUCUCCUGGCUUUCAUUUUGUCUCAUAUAUCCCAGACUUGAAGAAGUUCACGACCUGGAAACUCUAGUGUUUGAGAUGGGGGGAAAAGUCCCAACAAAAACCUACUCCCUCUAGACAAAGCAAAAACAAAACAGAAAGCAGAAAAGGGGCAGCCUUACAAGAUAGAAACCCUUGAGACAAUAACCUUUCUACUCCAGCCAAAUACCACAGAAAAGACUGUGGCCCACCCACACUCACACAAGCAAAGGCAGAGUGGAGAUCCUAGAAUUCCACCCACACCAGGCUGUAAAGAGGCACCUCAACUCUCCCCAUGGGCUCCCUGCAAUAUCAGUGAAGACAGUCAGGGAGCCUGG
Long non-coding RNA from Macaca fascicularis (crab-eating macaque), 1570 nucleotides. Lineage: Eukaryota; Metazoa; Chordata; Mammalia; Primates; Cercopithecidae. The record is from Ensembl.